Molecule: ribosomal RNA, 408 nt
Filed under: uncultured bacterium
Lineage: Bacteria
Description: bacterial SSU rRNA
Rfam family: Bacterial small subunit ribosomal RNA
Source: RNAcentral
AGCAGUGGGGAAUAUUGGACAAUGGGCGAAAGCCUGAUCCAGCCAUGCCGCGUGUGUGAAGAAGGUCUUCGGAUUGUAAAGCACUUUAAGUUGGGAGGAAGGGCAUUAACCUAAUACGUUAGUGUUUUGACGUUACCGACAGAAUAAGCACCGGCUAACUCUGUGCCAGCAGCCGCGGUAAUACAGAGGGUGCAAGCGUUAAUCGGAAUUACUGGGCGUAAAGCGCGCGUAGGUGGUUUGUUAAGUUGGAUGUGAAAUCCCCGGGCUCAACCUGGGAACUGCAUUCAAAACUGACUGACUAGAGUAUGGUAGAGGGUGGUGGAAUUUCCUGUGUAGCGGUGGAAUGCGUAGAUAUAGGAAGGAACACCAGUGGCGAAGCGACCACCUGGGACUGAUACUGACACUGAG